GAAACCACCUUGACUGCAGUCUUAUGUAAGCAGAGUCCUUCCCCAUUUUAUAAAAUUGUAAUUUUCCAUUAUUUUCUUUAAGGAGUGAAAAUUAGAGAAUCCAUGUGUCGAAACAAAAGAAGGAAUUUUGUGGACAAAAUGGACAGUCAGUGCAUUUUUUUUCCUUGAAACUUUCCCUAUUUAAUUCUGGAAUAGAAGAGUGACAAAGAAGAGUAUAGUAGAAUUGUAUAUAUUCACAUUCAACUGUGUGUGUUCAGAAAAGAGUAAAAUAAAAGUGAGGAUUAAAGUAUAGGUGAUUCUGUCUGCCUUUUACUCAGUAAAUUUCUGCCC
This 330-nucleotide long non-coding RNA is filed under the name Dasypus novemcinctus (nine-banded armadillo). RNAcentral's name for it is "lncRNA (ENSDNOG00000050768.1)". The record is from RNAcentral. Lineage: Eukaryota; Metazoa; Chordata; Mammalia; Cingulata; Dasypodidae.